RNAcentral lists this ribosomal RNA (253 nucleotides) under uncultured bacterium. Its description in RNAcentral is "partial 16S ribosomal RNA". It matches the Rfam family "Bacterial small subunit ribosomal RNA", at positions 524 to 776 of the family's 1533-position model. The record is from RNAcentral.
UACAGAGGUCUCAAGCGUUGUUCGGAUUCAUUGGGCGUAAAGGGUGUGUAGGUGGCGCCGUAAGUCGGGUGUGAAAUCUUGGAGCUUAACUCCGAAACUGCAUUCGAUACUGCCGGGCUUGAGGACUGGAGAGGAGACUGGAAUUUACGGUGUAGCGGUGAAAUGCGUAGAUAUCGUAAGGAAGACCAGUGGCGAAGGCGGGUCUCUGGACAGUUACUGACGCUGAGGCACGAAGGCCAGGGGAGCAAACGGG